RNAcentral lists this ribosomal RNA (229 nucleotides) under uncultured bacterium. Its description in RNAcentral is "partial 16S ribosomal RNA". It matches the Rfam family "Bacterial small subunit ribosomal RNA", at positions 568 to 796 of the family's 1533-position model. The record is from RNAcentral.
UGCGCAGGUAGGAAUGUAAGUCAGUGGUGAAAUACUGCCGCUUAACGGUAGAAUUGCCAUUGAUACUGCAUUUCCUGAGUAUGGUUGAGGUAGGCGGAAUGUGUCGUGUAGCGGUGAAAUGCAUAGAUAUGACACAGAACGCCGAUUGCGAAGGCAGCUUACUAAGCCAUUACUGACACUGAGGCACGAAAGCGUGGGGAGCGAACAGGAUUAGAUACCCUGGUAGUCC